AACCCCCAGCAACGGAUCUCUUGGCUCCAGCAUCGAUGAAGAACGCGGCGAAAUGCGAUACGUAAUGCGAAUUGCAGGACCCAGUGAGUCAUCAAGUUUUUGAACGCACAUUGCGCCCGCCGGUUUUCCGGCGGGCCUGCUCGUCCGAGCGUCGCU
RNAcentral lists this ribosomal RNA (156 nucleotides) under Spathulospora antarctica. RNAcentral describes it as "5.8S ribosomal RNA". It matches the Rfam family "5.8S ribosomal RNA". From Rfam's summary of the family: 5.8S ribosomal RNA (5.8S rRNA) is a component of the large subunit of the eukaryotic ribosome. It is transcribed by RNA polymerase I as part of the 45S precursor that also contains 18S and 28S rRNA. Lineage: Eukaryota; Fungi; Ascomycota; Sordariomycetes; Lulworthiales; Spathulosporaceae. The record is from RNAcentral.